Acanthopagrus latus (yellowfin seabream) is the source of this 281-nucleotide long non-coding RNA. RefSeq lists it as uncharacterized. The transcript has 3 exons. Lineage: Eukaryota; Metazoa; Chordata; Actinopteri; Spariformes; Sparidae. The record is from RefSeq and is a predicted model, not a curated record.
GAGGACACGAAUACGGUGAACAGUGGGACUUGUCUUCAGCUUCAGGUGGAACAGCUCUGACCUGUAUGGUGAUCAGACCCGGAGAGGAGACACACCUGGUCCAACCAGGUGAUGGACAGUUGAAAGGACGAAUCACCAAGAUGAGCCAAUCAAUGGAGACGAGCCGCCACAGGAGCCUGAACCUGUACUUCACGAGGGGGAUCAAACAUGGCUGAUAUAUCUGCAGUUCACUGCUCGUUUCUCCAGAACGAGAGCAGCCAGGAGCUGAAAGUUGUGGGCAG